CCCUCGCUGUGUGUUAUACGUGUCACACGGGACUGCCGGUUUUAAGCCGGAGGAAGGCGAGGAUGAAGUCAAGUCAGCAUGGCCUUUAUAUCCUGGGCUACACACACGCUACAAUGGUCUGUACAACAGGUUGCCAAACCGCGAGGUGGAGCCAAUCCCUAAAACAGGCCUCAGUUCAGAUUGCAGGCUGCAACCCGCCUGCAUGAAGCCGGAGUUGCUAGUAACCGCAGGUCAGCUAUACUGCGGUGAAUACGUUCCCGGGUCUU
RNAcentral lists this ribosomal RNA (266 nucleotides) under uncultured Anaerolineaceae bacterium. Its description in RNAcentral is "partial 16S ribosomal RNA". It matches the Rfam family "Bacterial small subunit ribosomal RNA", at positions 1102 to 1382 of the family's 1533-position model. Lineage: Bacteria; Bacillati; Chloroflexota; Anaerolineae; Anaerolineales; Anaerolineaceae. The record is from RNAcentral.